This 497-nucleotide ribosomal RNA is filed under the name uncultured bacterium. Its description in RNAcentral is "partial 16S ribosomal RNA". It matches the Rfam family "Bacterial small subunit ribosomal RNA", at positions 28 to 507 of the family's 1533-position model. The record is from RNAcentral.
GAUGAACGCUGGCGGCGUGCCUAAUACAUGCAAGUCGAGCGAACGGACGAGAAGCUUGCUUCUCUGAUGUUAGCGGCGGACGGGUGAGUAACACGUGGAUAACCUACCUAUAAGACUGGGACAACUUCGGGAAACCGGAGCUAAUACCGGAUAAUAUUUUGAACCGCAUGGUUCAAAAGUGAAAGACGGUCUUGCUGUCACUUAUAGAUGGAUCCGCGCUGCAUUAGCUAGUUGGUAAGGUAACGGCUUACCAAGGCAACGAUGCAUAGCCGACCUGAGAGGGUGAUCGGCCACACUGGAACUGAGACACGGUCCAGACUCCUACGGGAGGCAGCAGUAGGGAAUCUUCCGCAAUGGGCGAAAGCCUGACGGAGCAACGCCGCGUGAGUGAUGAAGGUCUUCGGAUCGUAAAACUCUGUUAUUAGGGAAGAACAUAUGUGUAAGUAACUGUGCACAUCUUGACGGUACCUAAUCAGAAAGCCACGGCUAACUACGUG